GGUAUGGCGCAGUUGGUUAGCGCGCUAGAUUGUGGCUCUAGAGGUCGUGGGUUCGACUCCCACUAUC
This 67-nucleotide transfer RNA is filed under the name bovine gut metagenome. It matches the Rfam family "tRNA". From Rfam's summary of the family: Transfer RNA (tRNA) molecules are approximately 80 nucleotides in length. Their secondary structure includes four short double-helical elements and three loops (D, anti-codon, and T loops). Further hydrogen bonds mediate the characteristic L-shaped molecular structure. tRNAs have two regions of fundamental functional importance: the anti-codon, which is responsible for specific mRNA codon recognition, and the 3' end, to which the tRNAs corresponding amino acid is attached (by aminoacyl-tRNA synthetases). tRNAs cope with the degeneracy of the genetic code in two manners: having more than one tRNA (with a specific anti-codon) for a particular amino acid; and 'wobble' base-pairing, i.e. permitting non-standard base-pairing at the 3rd anti-codon position. The record is from RNAcentral.